This 199-nucleotide non-coding RNA is filed under the name Clostridiales bacterium. RNAcentral's name for it is "6S RNA". It matches the Rfam family "6S / SsrS RNA". Rfam says of the family: E. coli 6S RNA was the first non coding RNA to be sequenced, but its function was unknown until recently. The record is from RNAcentral. Lineage: Bacteria; Bacillati; Bacillota; Clostridia; Eubacteriales.
CGAAACCUGCUGUGUGCGUGAGGGGCCUUUUUAAACCCACAUCUCUUAUAAGGGAUGCCAUAUUCCACCGCGAUUUGCAGGCCUCCCGGCGCGGCUUUGACCGACGCCGGAUGUUGGAAGCAGCGGACCGGCGGAGAGGCGACCCACCUGCCUUAUGUGCAGGUUAUAAUCAGGCUCCCACGGCAAUAGCGGGCUUGGG